Molecule: ribosomal RNA, 253 nt
Filed under: uncultured bacterium
Lineage: Bacteria
Description: partial 16S ribosomal RNA
Rfam family: Bacterial small subunit ribosomal RNA
Source: RNAcentral
UACGGGGGGGGCAAGCGUGGUUCAGAAUUACAGGGCGUAAAGGGCUCGUAGGUGGCCAACUAAGUCAGACGUGAAAUCCCCAGGCUCAACUUGGGAACUGCGUCUGAUACUGGAUGGCUUGAAUUCGGGAGAGGGAUGCAGAAUUCCAGGUGUAGCGGUGAAAUGCGUAGAUAUCUGGAGGAAUACCGGUGGCGAAGGCGGCAUCCUGGACCGAUAUUGACACUGAUGAGCGAAAGCUAGGGGAGCAAACGGG